This 253-nucleotide ribosomal RNA is filed under the name uncultured bacterium. RNAcentral describes it as "partial 16S ribosomal RNA". It matches the Rfam family "Bacterial small subunit ribosomal RNA", at positions 67 to 301 of the family's 1533-position model. The record is from RNAcentral.
CGAGACGUUUCAGCUUGCUGGAACUAGUAAAGUGGCGCACGGGUGAGUAACGCGUGGGUAAUCUACCUCCGAAUUGGGGAUAACAUUGCGAAAGCGAUGCUAAUACCGGAUAACAUCUCAAUUACUUCGGUGUUUGAGAUCAAAGGUGGCCUCUCCUUGGAAGCUAUUGUUUGGAGAUGAGCCCGCGUACCAUUAGCUUGUUGGUAGGGUAAUGGCCUACCAAGGCUACGAUGGUUAGCUGGUCUGAGAGGAU